CCUUCUUGUGGAAAGAACUCUGUUGUCAAGGGACUAUUUUUCUCAUCCUAGUUCCAGAGCCUCUUUUAAAAAACGGAAGGAGACAGGAUUAUAGAAUAUGUGGAGCACGCAAAGGGUGUCAAGGAAACGUGGCGGGGUGGGGUCAGGGGCGUGAAGAUCUGGCCCCGCCCCCUGAAGGACUGGGAGGAGUUACAAGGGCAGAAGUAAAGUGGAGAAAGACGCAGAAGGUGUCUUUGCUAAGCAACUGCUUACCAGAGUGUCAAAUAGACUGGCCGCCGUGUGCAGGGUCCAGACUGUCUUCUUCUGUGCAUGUAUCCCAGCACCUACACAGGACCACCAUCAUGGCAGUGUUGCUCAUCCAUUCUACACCCCCCCUCUGCCAGCCCCUGCGUGCUUUCUUUCGAAGGCUUCCCUACAGCACUUCAAACAUAGCAGCCAUAGUAGCCAUUUUUCAUACUUAAGGUCUCAAACAUUCCUGUUUCCCUGGAAAGCACAAAGACUCUGGGCAUCAUGUCCCAGUGCCUAACAGAGCCUCACAAGAAUUCCAUGACUAAAGGCAUCCCAGUUCCAACCUAAACCAGUGAGAGAAGGGAAGAGAAGACUGCUUCCUCUGAAUCAUAGCAGUGCCCUUUCUAAAACAAAACAUACAGCACAGUUUUUCCUUUUUAAGAUCUUAUCUCACAAACAUACCGUGUAAAAAUUUAUGUGCAGAUUUGUUCAUUGCAGCAAUACUGGUAACAGUACUGGUAAAAGUCUCUCAUCAGGAAGGGAUUGCUUCAACUGUGGUACGUCACACAAUGGAACCCCAUGCAGCCACAAAAAGGGGUGAGGUAGGUCUAUACAUGCUAACAGUAAAACUGUCACAACUAAGCGAAAGCGCAAGUUGCAAAAAAGAGAGAGAGAAUGUGUAGUUUGAUUACAUUUCUG
Molecule: long non-coding RNA, 927 nt
Organism: Leopardus geoffroyi (Geoffroy's cat)
Lineage: Eukaryota; Metazoa; Chordata; Mammalia; Carnivora; Felidae
Exons: 4
Source: RefSeq, a predicted model, not a curated record